RNAcentral lists this unclassified non-coding RNA (380 nucleotides) under soil metagenome. RNAcentral describes it as "partial contains 5.8S ribosomal RNA, internal transcribed spacer 2, and large subunit ribosomal RNA". The stretch from base 1 to 120 matches the Rfam family "5.8S ribosomal RNA", at positions 35 to 154 of the family's 154-position model. The record is from RNAcentral.
GAUGAAAAACGUAGCGAAAUGCGAUAAGUAAUGUGAAUUGCAGAAUUCAGUGAAUCAUCGAAUCUUUGAACGCACCUUGCACCCUUUGGCAUUCUGAAGGGUAUGCUCGUUUGAGUGUCAUUGUACUCUCACACUCCCGAUCUUUGCAUUGGGAGCAGUGGACUUGGGUUUGCUGCUUCACCGUCGCUUACCUCAAAUAGGUUAGUGCAACUCUUGGUUGGACAUAGUACGGCGUGAUAAGUGUUCUUCGCCGGUGCCUCGCAAAGAGGGUGGCCGAUCGGGAUGUUGUGCUCCAAACCGUCUUCGGACAAUCUCUGACGACUUGACCUCAAAUCGAGUAAGACUACCCGCUGAACUUAAGCAUAUCAAUAAGCGGAGGA